Molecule: ribosomal RNA, 253 nt
Filed under: uncultured bacterium
Lineage: Bacteria
Description: partial 16S ribosomal RNA
Rfam family: Bacterial small subunit ribosomal RNA
Source: RNAcentral
UACGUAGGGGGCAAGCGUUGUCCGGAUUUAUUGGGCGUAAAGAGCGUGUAGGCGGCCUGGAAGGUCAGCUGUGAAAACUCGAGGCUCAACCUCGAGACGUCGGUUGAAACCACCUGGCUAGAGUCCGGAAGAGGAGAGUGGAAUUCCCGGUGUAGCGGUGAAAUGCGCAGAUAUCGGGAAGAACACCCGUGGCGAAGGCGGCUCUCUGGGACGGUACUGACGCUGAGGAGCGAAAGCGUGGGGAGCGAACAGG